GUGCCAGCCGCCGCGGUAAUACGUAGGUGGCAAGCGUUGUCCGGAUUUAUUGGGUUUAAAGGGUGCGUAGGCGGUUAUAUAAGUCAGUGCUGAAAUAUCCCGGCUUAACCGGGAGGGUGGCAUUGAUACUGUAUGACUUGAGUAAAGUUGAGGUUGGCGGAAUUGACGGUGUAGCGGUGAAAUGCUUAGAUAUCGUCAAGAACACCGAUUGCGAAGGCAGCUAACUAAGCUUUAACUGACGCUGAGGCACGAAAGUGUGGGGAUCAAACAGGAUUAGAAACCCUGGUAGUCC
This 292-nucleotide ribosomal RNA is filed under the name uncultured bacterium. RNAcentral's name for it is "partial 16S ribosomal RNA". It matches the Rfam family "Bacterial small subunit ribosomal RNA", at positions 505 to 796 of the family's 1533-position model. The record is from RNAcentral.